This 253-nucleotide ribosomal RNA is filed under the name uncultured bacterium. RNAcentral's name for it is "partial 16S ribosomal RNA". It matches the Rfam family "Archaeal small subunit ribosomal RNA", at positions 474 to 727 of the family's 1478-position model. The record is from RNAcentral.
UACCAGCACCCCGAGUGGUCGGGACGAUUAUUGGGCCUAAAGCAUCCGUAGCCGGUUUUACAAGUCCUCCGUUAAAUCCAACUGCUUAACAGAUGGGCCGCGGAGGAUACUAUAAGACUAGGAGGCAGGAGAGGCAAGCGGUACUCAGUGGGUAGGGGUAAAAUCCGUUGAUCCAAUGAAGACCACCAGUGGCGAAGGCGGCUUGCCAGAAUGCGCUCGACGGUGAGGGAUGAAAGCUGGGGGAGCAAACCGG